UCCAAGUAGCUGACUCCCAUCUUUGGAGCAGUUAUUCCCCACCCUUAGCCCUAACCUUCCUUCAAGCCAUUUAUCAUUUGUGUGUGAAUGUGAGGCCUUAUUCCGAUUGAGCUUGGUAUAAAGUGUUAGGUCUGUAACGACAAGGAUAGUAUCUCAUGUAGUUCUGGUUCACGUUAUCUGGACCAGAUAGUACUAUGUAGGUGCUUAAUUCUGGGUUUGGGUUGUGUUUAAAAGAAAGAAAAGGUUGUGUUCAUCAUUGAAAGAAAAGAAAAGGGAAAAGAGUUCUUAGGAGAAGUAGCUAAAGUAAGAAAAGUCUAGUAAAGGAUUUGGGAAUGUUAAAGUAAAGAAAAGGGUUCUGUAAUAACUUAAAGAGAAAGAGUAAAAAGCCUUAUGUUAUAAAAGAAAGAAAAGGAAACCCUAGUUGGUAAAGAAAUCCUAAUCCGCUAGACAGAGCAAAGUAAGAAAGCUUCUCCUAGGACAGAAAAGCAAAGAAAAGAAAGGAAUGGUGUGAGUAAAAGUCUGUAAAUGCUUUGAGUGCAAAAGGGUAGAGUUAAGUUCAUGAUUCUAGGAUUAGAAAUAGGACCUCCAUUUGGGUUUAUAUUGAUUACAUUCUGGGUAGAUGGGGUUCUAUCCUUGUAUGCAUAACUUGAUACUCACCUUUAGCAUUCUACUAAAGUUCAAUCAUUCUUGAGAGAUCCCCUGUUACAAUUUAAACCAGAUCUUUAAGGGACCAUCUUUGUCUCUAGACCUCUACCCUUAAGCCAAAUGAGUUCAUAUCCAUUGCAUUGUAUGAUCCACGGUUCUCACUUAAUCAAUGUUAAAGGGAAUGUGCUGAUGUGAAUGCUUGAAUUGAUUAAGGCAGAAGUUAGGUUGAGAUGUGAAGGAGAUGGCUAAAGUUUUAAAGUAGAGAUCAGUCAACCUUGCAUUCUAGAAUUAGCAACCUGGACAUUGAAUUCACUUACUUUAUAUGCAUGUUUUGGUUCUGAGUCUCCACUUUCAAACCUCUCCUCCAGCUUGAUCUUUACUGUUUGCUUGAGGGCAAGCAAAGAAUAAGUUUGGGGGAGUUGAUAUGUCUAUAUUUUACUAUUUUUUACCAUGCAUUUACAUCUCAUUUAGUCAAGUUUCUUCCUUGUUUCAUUCCUGUAACACCUAGUUUGCAUCACUUAUCUACACUUUGAGCAUUUAGGAUCGUUCUACAUCUAUGUUGCAUACAUUCUUGCAUUUUGGCGUUGUAUCAGGUGUUUUUAGGUACUGAAGAGCUGCGUAGGAGUAUGUACUCGAAUUCAUGCUCGAGAAGCACCUGAGAUCCUUGUCCGAGUAGAAGCGUUGAAGCACAAGUCUUCAGCGUUUAACCAGACCACUCGACCAAGACACUCGGACUGCCUACUCGAGUACCUACUCGAGUUCACUUGAUAGCAUCACCAGAGCAGACUGCAUGAAGAAUGGGAAAACCUACUCGAGUACCUACUCGAGUAUCUACUCGAGUUCACCUGAGAGCUUCACUCCAGCAAGAUGCAAACUUUGAAGAAUAGACUACUCGACCAACACCACUCGAGUCCGUGUUCGAGUAGGCCUUAAACCGACUUUCUAUUUUGUCGUUUUGUGUAUUAAGGUUUUCUACUUUUGCUAUAAAUAGACCUCUUAGGGCUUUGCCCAAAGGAUCUCGCUUUUA
RNAcentral lists this long non-coding RNA (1672 nucleotides) under Arabidopsis lyrata. Its description in RNAcentral is "long non-coding RNA (ALYR_LNC000508)". Lineage: Eukaryota; Viridiplantae; Streptophyta; Magnoliopsida; Brassicales; Brassicaceae. The record is from RNAcentral.